RNAcentral lists this ribosomal RNA (253 nucleotides) under uncultured bacterium. RNAcentral's name for it is "partial 16S ribosomal RNA". It matches the Rfam family "Bacterial small subunit ribosomal RNA", at positions 524 to 776 of the family's 1533-position model. The record is from RNAcentral.
UACAGAGGGUGCAAGCGUUGUUCGGAAUUAUUGGGCGGAAAGCGCGUUUAGGCGGCUUUGCAAGUCGGGUGUGAAAGCCCUCAGCUCAACUGAGGAAGUGCGCCCGAAACUGCCGAGCUUGAGUGCCGGAGAGGGUGGCGGAAUUCCCCAAGUAGAGGUGAAAUUCGUAGAUAUGGGGAGGAACCCCGGUGGCGAAGGCGGCCACCUGGACGGUAACUGACGCUGAGACGCGAAAGCGUGGGGAGCAAACAGG